CCGUGUGGGGAUGAAGCGAUUCUGGCGGGCCGGGCUCCUUCAGCUCGCCGCCAUGAGGGCAAGGAGCGGCUCUGGCGGGCCGGGCUCCCUCGCUCUGAGGGCAAGGAGUGGCUCUGGCGGGCCGGGCUCCUUCAGCUCGCCGCCAUGAGGGCCCGGAGCGGCUCGGGUGAACCGAGCUCUCUCGCCAUGAGGCCUUCAGCCGAUGACCGAUGGCGGUGAUCCGCCCGAAGGAGCCCCCUGAGGUGCCCCGGCCCCGUCGUGUGUGGAACCCCGAGCUGUGCUGGGCUGGGACAGCCGGGGAGGCGCUCCGGGAGGGCGCUGGAGCCUGGGAGAGCAGAUGUGAAGGGAUAACCUGCCCGUGGGACACAGCGAAAGCUCUGGAGCCACGUGGGUGAGGUAAAUUGUUGGUGUGGGGCUUCCUGGAGCAGCAGGAGUGGUCAGAAGUAAAGCUGUCGAUGCUGCUUUGAAGAGCCUUGUUUGAAAGGUGAAGAUGGAAACCUGGAGCCCACAGUUUAAACGGGGCAGCUGGAGAAUUUGUUUUCAGAAUGUGGAUGUAGGAAUUGGAAACAUCAAAGGUGGUUGGGGGCAAGGUAUAACAAGAAUUCUGUGUACAAUUUAUUGUUAAUCUCCUCUCAUUGCUUGUUGGAAAUACAUUUUUACAUGACCUCAAUUAAAUGUAUUUAUAUUUAAGCUUG
This is a long non-coding RNA of Zonotrichia leucophrys gambelii, 695 nucleotides long. RefSeq lists it as uncharacterized. The transcript has 3 exons. NCBI's taxonomy places the organism in Eukaryota, Metazoa, Chordata, Aves, Passeriformes, Passerellidae. The record is from RefSeq and is a predicted model, not a curated record.